Molecule: unclassified non-coding RNA, 457 nt
Filed under: Hevea brasiliensis (rubber tree)
Lineage: Eukaryota; Viridiplantae; Streptophyta; Magnoliopsida; Malpighiales; Euphorbiaceae
Source: RNAcentral
UAAAUAAAAAAUUAAAUAAAAUUACAGCUGAUUGCUCUACCAAAUAGCUGUGGAAAUCAUAAAUUUCUACAUAUGAAUUUGUCUUCUAUUGACUGCCUAAAAUUUAAUUCCCAAUUAUAUAUAAAUUAUAGCCUUAUCAUGAACUUACUUUCCCUGGGAAUAUGGUUUUCCAUUUUCAGUCUUGAGAUUUUGAAUCUCUUUUAUUUAUAUUUAACAUCAGUCUCUGCAAGAGAGAAGAUUCAAUAAUCCAUAUGGAAAAAGGAGGGAAAAACACAUUAAAAACGCAAGAAAAUAUGAUUUGCAAACCUGAUUUCUCAACAUGUGAAGGAGGGUGGUGUUGCCCAGAUUGCAAAGACUGCAAGCACAAUCAGGAGUUCAAGAUCUCAUAAUAAAACACAGAAGUUCAGUGCUAGUCCUAGCCGGAUGGGAUGGAUUGGAGCUAGUUCAGCAUUUGCAA